UUGCCUUAAACUAAUGAGUAAGGAAAACAAAGCGAGAGGUGGGAGCCGCUCGCCGCGCCGACACAGUUUGUGCGCAUGAAUUUGUGGAGGGGUUAUAGGCUGGCCGAGCGUUGACGCUGCUUACUUUGCAGAACUCGCUUGCGCGGGCCUCCCUA
Molecule: non-coding RNA, 155 nt
Organism: Populus trichocarpa (black cottonwood)
Lineage: Eukaryota; Viridiplantae; Streptophyta; Magnoliopsida; Malpighiales; Salicaceae
Source: Rfam